AGAGUUUGAUCCUGGCUCAGAUUGAACGCUGGCGGCAUGCCUUACACAUGCAAGUCGAACGGCAGCGCGGGGCAACCUGGCGGCGAGUGGCGAACGGGUGAGUAAUAUAUCGGAACGUACCCUGGAGUGGGGGAUAACGUAGCGAAAGUUACGCUAAUACCGCAUACGAUCUAAGGAUGAAAGUGGGGGAUUCGCAAGAACCUCAUGCUCCUGGAGCGGCCGAUAUCUGAUUAGCUAGUUGGUAGGGUAAAAGCCUACCAAGGCAUCGAUCAGUAGCUGGUCUGAGAGGACGACCAGCCACACUGGAACUGAGACACGGUCCAGACUCCUACGGGAGGCAGCAGUGGGGAAUAUUGGACAAUGGGCGAAAGCCUGAUCCAGCCAUGCCGCGUGUGUGAAGAAGGUCUUCGGAUUGUAAAGCACUUUAAGUUGGGAGGAAGGGCAUUAACCUAAUACGUUGGUGUCUUGACGUUACCGACAGAAUAAGCACCGGCUAACUCUGUGCCAGCAGCCGCGGUAAUACAGAGGGUGCAAGCGUUAAUCGGAAUUACUGGGCGUAAAGCGCGCGUAGGUGGUUUGUUAAGUUGGAUGUGAAAGCCCCGGGCUCAACCUGGGAACUGCAUUCAAAACUGACAAGCUAGAGUAUGGUAGAGGGUGGUGGAAUUUCCUGNUGUAGCGGUGAAAUGCGUAGAUAUAGGAAGGAACAC
This 707-nucleotide ribosomal RNA is filed under the name uncultured bacterium. RNAcentral describes it as "bacterial SSU rRNA". It matches the Rfam family "Bacterial small subunit ribosomal RNA", at positions 8 to 709 of the family's 1533-position model. The record is from RNAcentral.